Long non-coding RNA from Corvus hawaiiensis (hawaiian crow), 986 nucleotides. RefSeq lists it as uncharacterized. The record is from RefSeq and is a predicted model, not a curated record. The transcript is spliced from 2 exons. Lineage: Eukaryota; Metazoa; Chordata; Aves; Passeriformes; Corvidae.
CCCGCCCUCAGCGAGUGCCGCCGCCGCGGAGGCUUCGCCCCCUGCCCGCCAAGGGGCGGCUGUGGCGGCAGCCGCACGGACCCGGAACGGGAAGCGCUGCGGGGGCCGAGAGGAGGCAGCAAGCAAGAGCCGUCCCCCCCCACCUUACCCGGGGCCGGCCUCGCGCGCGCCGCCGCUACAGCCUCGCGCCCCCCCUCCCUUUAUGGCCGCCCCUCACCCGCCCCUCUCACGCCCUUUCCCCUCACGGCCUCGGCCAUGGCUGGGCCUUCCCGGAGAACGGCAGCGGCGGCGGGAAGAGGAGGAGGAGGAGGAAGAGGAGGAGGAGGAGGAGGAGGAGGAGUCGCACAGAUUCAAGAGCUGGAGCUCCAAGAGACACAAUAAGCGAUUGUGUUAUGAAUCUUGGCAGCGCCAAAUCCGUGAGCAGAGGCUGGUGCAAAUAGGAGAGUACAGGGCUAUACCUCUUUAACUCAAUUCAGGUAUAUUUUUACAUGAAAGUUGGUUUGUAUCAUUAUUCCUGUACAGAUAUUUUACAUCGUUGCACUGAUUUAGCUGUAAAGACAUUUGGGGGCUACUGUAAUGCACUAGGAAAUACAUUAUUAACACAGACCACUCCUCACUUGCACUGUUACUUUAGGAGGGUGGCUGGGAACAACAGAGAGAAAGAACCAUUCAUGCUUUCAGCAUUCUCUUUGCCACUGUAAAAAAUGAUAAAAGAUUCACUGGAGUUUGGGUUUUGGUUCUGCCAAAGUAUGCAAUUUUGUGUCUACAUAGGACUGGAUUUGGUGGGGAAAAAAGCAAUAGAAUAUUUCCCCAGGUUAUGUUAAUUGUGGAUCGCACCAUCUCAUGAAGAAAGAGGGCAUGAGUUCAGGACCUGUGUUUUCCUGGACUGCAGUGUGACCUUGGGUAAAGCAGUUCACUUUACACAGCUGUAUUUUGGCUGUCGUUAAAAUGGAAAUAAAGAUAUCGUUUUUUUUUUCAAACACUCA